This 219-nucleotide unclassified non-coding RNA is filed under the name plant metagenome. RNAcentral's name for it is "partial contains small subunit ribosomal RNA, internal transcribed spacer 1, and 5.8S ribosomal RNA". The stretch from base 1 to 54 matches the Rfam family "Eukaryotic small subunit ribosomal RNA", at positions 1778 to 1831 of the family's 1831-position model. The record is from RNAcentral.
GGGAGUAAAAGUCGUAACAAGGUCUCCGUUGGUGAACCAGCGGAGGGAUCAUUACCGAGUGCAAACUCAUAACCCUUUGUGAACCUAUAUCUGUUGCUUCGGCGGCUCGCUCUCGGGCGAGCCCGCCGGUAAUAUCAGUAUCUCUGUUUGAACCCGACGAUACUUCUGAGUGUUCUUAGCGAACAGUUAAAACUUUUAACAACGGAUCUCUUGGCUCUA